RNAcentral lists this ribosomal RNA (779 nucleotides) under Bacillus subtilis. RNAcentral's name for it is "bacterial SSU rRNA". It matches the Rfam family "Bacterial small subunit ribosomal RNA", at positions 77 to 839 of the family's 1533-position model. The record is from RNAcentral. Lineage: Bacteria; Bacillati; Bacillota; Bacilli; Caryophanales; Bacillaceae.
AGCUUGCUCCCUGAUGUUAGCGGCGGACGGGUGAGUAACACGUGGGUAACCUGCCUGUAAGACUGGGAUAACUCCGGGAAACCGGGGCUAAUACCGGAUGGUUGUUUGAACCGCAUGGUUCAAACAUAAAAGGUGGCUUCGGCUACCACUUACAGAUGGACCCGCGGCGCAUUAGCUAGUUGGUGAGGUAACGGCUCACCAAGGCAACGAUGCGUAGCCGACCUGAGAGGGUGAUCGGCCACACUGGGACUGAGACACGGCCCAGACUCCUACGGGAGGCAGCAGUAGGGAAUCUUCCGCAAUGGACGAAAGUCUGACGGAGCAACGCCGCGUGAGUGAUGAAGGUUUUCGGAUCGUAAAGCUCUGUUGUUAGGGAAGAACAAGUACCGUUCGAAUAGGGCGGUACCUUGACGGUACCUAACCAGAAAGCCACGGCUAACUACGUGCCAGCAGCCGCGGUAAUACGUAGGUGGCAAGCGUUGUCCGGAAUUAUUGGGCGUAAAGGGCUCGCAGGCGGUUUCUUAAGUCUGAUGUGAAAGCCCCCGGCUCAACCGGGGAGGGUCAUUGGAAACUGGGGAACUUGAGUGCAGAAGAGGAGAGUGGAAUUCCACGUGUAGCGGUGAAAUGCGUAGAGAUGUGGAGGAACACCAGUGGCGAAGGCGACUCUCUGGUCUGUAACUGACGCUGAGGAGCGAAAGCGUGGGGAGCGAACAGGAUUAGAUACCCUGGUAGUCCACGCCGUAAACGAUGAGUGCUAAGUGUUAGGGGGUUUCCGCCCC